This is a long non-coding RNA of Puntigrus tetrazona (Sumatra barb), 394 nucleotides long. RefSeq lists it as uncharacterized. The record is from RefSeq and is a predicted model, not a curated record. The transcript has 3 exons. NCBI's taxonomy places the organism in Eukaryota, Metazoa, Chordata, Actinopteri, Cypriniformes, Cyprinidae.
CACACACUCUCACUCAGUUGCUUUUAUGUUUUCGGCUCAGGUCGGAGAUGUUCGUGUUCGUUUCUCUUACGCCGGUCUCAGCGGUGACGGAAUGUAUCCUGGCCCCGCCCACAAGGUGAGCGUGGUGGCGAUGCAGCGGGGCGAUCAGCUCAAGCCCUUCCGGACGCGCUCCGGAGACCUGCUGGAGAUCCUCUACAUGGGUGACCUGUCAGCAGAGGAGGUUUUCGCUCGAGAGCAUCAGCUCAACAACAUGAAGACCUGGGCUCUGAGGCUCGGCGGCUGGGCCCUCAUGUUCCUGAGCGUCAGUCUGAGCACACGGAUCAUUUACACACUGGGUAACACACACACACACACACACACACACACACACACCUCUCACUCUUCUCUCUCUCAC